This 447-nucleotide ribosomal RNA is filed under the name uncultured bacterium. Its description in RNAcentral is "bacterial SSU rRNA". It matches the Rfam family "Bacterial small subunit ribosomal RNA", at positions 355 to 825 of the family's 1533-position model. The record is from RNAcentral.
UGGGGAAUCUUGCGCAAUGGGCGAAAGCCUGACGCAGCCAUGCCGCGUGAAUGAUGAAGGUCUUAGGAUUGUAAAGUUCUUUCGCUCGUGACGAUGAUGACGGUAACGAGAGAAGAAGCCCCGGCUAACUUCGUGCCAGCAGCCGCGGUAAUACGAAGGGGGCUAGCGUUAUUCGGAAUUAUUGGGCGUAAAGGGCGCGUAGGCGGCUCUGUAAGUCAACGGUGAAAUCCCUCGGCUCAACCGAGGACGUGCCGUUGAUACUGCAAAGCUCGAGGCCGGGAGAGGGUAGUGGAAUUCCCAGUGUAGCGGUGAAAUGCGUAGAUAUUGGGAGGAACACCGGUGGCGAGGGCGGCUAACUGGUCCGGUACUGACGCUGAGGUGCGAAAGCGUGGGGAGCAAACAGGAUUAGAUACCCGUGUAGUCCCUGAGCGGGCUGGCAAGGCGCAU